CACGUAUUUAGCCGGGGCUUCUUAGUCAGGUACCGUCAUUUUCUUCCCUGCUGAUAGGGCUUUACAUACCGAAGUACUCCAUCGCCCACGCGGCGUCGCUGCAUCAGGGUUCCCCCCAUUGUGCAAUAUCCCCCACCUGCUGCCUCCCGUAGGAGUCUGGGCCGUGUCUCAGUCCCAAUGUGGCCGUCCACCCUCUCAGGCCGGCUACUGAUCGUCGCCUUGGUGGGCCGUUACCCCGCCAACAAGCUAAUCAGACGCGAGCCCAUCCUGCACCAUAUUACUUUCCACACCGCCCCAUGCGGGGCUGUGCGCCUAUGCGGUAUUAGCAGCCGUUUCCAGCUGUUGUCCCCCAGUGCAGGGCCAGGUUGCUCACGCGUUACUCACCCGUCCGCCACUAGGCAGCGCCAAUUUCCGCUCCGAAAAGUUUCCAUCGGCGCGCCCCGUUCGACUUGCAUGUGUUAGGCACGCCGCCAGCGUUCAUCCUGAGCCAGGAUCAAACU
RNAcentral lists this ribosomal RNA (500 nucleotides) under uncultured Lachnospiraceae bacterium. RNAcentral's name for it is "partial 16S ribosomal RNA". Lineage: Bacteria; Bacillati; Bacillota; Clostridia; Lachnospirales; Lachnospiraceae. The record is from RNAcentral.